AUUGAACGCUGGCGGCAGGCCUAACACAUGCAAGUCGAGCGGUAGCACAGAGAGCUUGCUCUCGGGUGACGAGCGGCGGACGGGUGAGUAAUGUCUGGGAAACUGCCUGAUGGAGGGGGAUAACUACUGGAAACGGUAGCUAAUACCGCAUAAUGUCGCAAGACCAAAGUGGGGGACCUUCGGGCCUCAUGCCAUCAGAUGUGCCCAGAUGGGAUUAGCUAGUAGGUGGGGUAACGGCUCACCUAGGCGACGAUCCCUAGCUGGUCUGAGAGGAUGACCAGCCACACUGGAACUGAGACACGGUCCAGACUCCUACGGGAGGCAGCAGUGGGGAAUAUUGCACAAUGGGCGCAAGCCUGAUGCAGCCAUGCCGCGUGUGUGAAGAAGGCCUUCGGGUUGUAAAGCACUUUCAGCGGGGAGGAAGGCGAUAAGGUUAAUAACCUUGUCGAUUGACGUUACCCGCAGAAGAAGCACCGGCUAACUCCGUGCCAGCAGCCGCGGUAAUACGGAGGGUGCAAGCGUUAAUCGGAAUUACUGGGCGUAAAGCGCACGCAGGCGGUCUGUCAAGUCGGAUGUGAAAUCCCCGGGCUCAACCUGGGAACUGCAUUCGAAACUGGCAGGCUAGAGUCUUGUAGAGGGGGGUAGAAUUCCAGGUGUAGCGGUGAAAUGCGUAGAGAUCUGGAGGAAUACCGGUGGCGAAGGCGGCCCCCUGGACAAAGACUGACGCUCAGGUGCGAAAGCGUGGGGAGCAAACAGGAUUAGAUACCCUGGUAGUCCACGCCGUAAACGAUGUCGAUUUGGAGGUUGUGCCCUUGAGGCGUGGCUUCCGGAGCUAACGCGUUAAAUCGACCGCCUGGGGAGUACGGCCGCAAGGUUAAAACUCAAAUGAAUUGACGGGGGCCCGCACAAGCGGUGGAGCAUGUGGUUUAAUUCGAUGCAACGCGAAGAACCUUACCUGGUCUUGACAUCCACAGAACUUUCCAGAGAUGGAUUGGUGCCUUCGGGAACUGUGAGACAGGUGCUGCAUGGCUGUCGUCAGCUCGUGUUGUGAAAUGUUGGGUUAAGUCCCGCAACGAGCGCAACCCUUAUCCUUUGUUGCCAGCGGUUAGGCCGGGAACUCAAAGGAGACUGCCAGUGAUAAACUGGAGGAAGGUGGGGAUGACGUCAAGUCAUCAUGGCCCUUACGACCAGGGCUACACACGUGCUACAAUGGCAUAUACAAAGAGAAGCGACCUCGCGAGAGCAAGCGGACCUCAUAAAGUAUGUCGUAGUCCGGAUUGGAGUCUGCAACUCGACUCCAUGAAGUCGGAAUCGCUAGUAAUCGUAGAUCAGAAUGCUACGGUGAAUACGUUCCCGGGCCUUGUACACACCGCCCGUCACACCAUGGGAGUGGGUUGCAAAAGAAGUAGGUAGCUUAACCUUCGGGAGGGCGCUUACCACUUUGUGAUUCAUGACUGGGGUGA
Molecule: ribosomal RNA, 1463 nt
Filed under: uncultured Klebsiella sp.
Lineage: Bacteria; Pseudomonadati; Pseudomonadota; Gammaproteobacteria; Enterobacterales; Enterobacteriaceae
Description: bacterial SSU rRNA
Rfam family: Bacterial small subunit ribosomal RNA
Source: RNAcentral